AAUCGGCAAAAGCUCAAAUUUGAAAUCUGGCACCUUCGGUGUCCGAGUUGUAAUUUGAAGAUUGUAACCUUGGGGUUGGCUCUUGUCUAUGUUUCUUGGAACAGGACGUCACAGAGGGUGAGAAUCCCGUGCGAUGAGAUGCCCAAUCCUAUGUAAGGUGCUUUCGAAGAGUCGAGUUGUUUGGGAAUGCAGCUCUAAGUGGGUGGUAAAUUCCAUCUAAAGCUAAAUAUUGGCGAGAGACCGAUAGCGAACAAGUACAGUGAUGGAAAGAUGAAAAGAACUUUGAAAAGAGAGUGAAAAAGUACGUGAAAUUGUUGAAAGGGAAGGGUUUGAGAUCAGACUCGAUAUUUUGUGAGCCUUGCCUUCGUGGCGGGGUGACCCGCAGCUUAUCGGGCCAGCAUCGGUUUGGGCGGUAGGAUAAUGGGCCGUAAAGUGAAUUUG
RNAcentral lists this ribosomal RNA (441 nucleotides) under Meyerozyma guilliermondii. RNAcentral describes it as "eukaryotic LSU rRNA". It matches the Rfam family "Eukaryotic large subunit ribosomal RNA", at positions 96 to 542 of the family's 3401-position model. The record is from RNAcentral. Lineage: Eukaryota; Fungi; Ascomycota; Pichiomycetes; Serinales; Debaryomycetaceae.